GUCUAUGGCCAUGCCACCCUGAACAAACUCGAUCCCAUCUGAUCUUGGAAGCUAAGCAGGGUCGGGCCUGGUUAGUACUUGGAUGGGAGACCACCUAGUACUGUAGGCGUAAAAAAAAAGACCAGGUACUGUAGGUG
This 137-nucleotide ribosomal RNA is filed under the name Pteropus vampyrus (large flying fox). The record is from RNAcentral. Lineage: Eukaryota; Metazoa; Chordata; Mammalia; Chiroptera; Pteropodidae.